UGUCCACUGAACCUUAUCAUUUAGAGGAAGGAGAAGUCGUA
Molecule: ribosomal RNA, 41 nt
Filed under: Deschampsia cespitosa (tufted hair grass)
Lineage: Eukaryota; Viridiplantae; Streptophyta; Magnoliopsida; Poales; Poaceae
Also listed under: 2 other names
Description: partial 18S ribosomal RNA
Source: RNAcentral